CCUACGGGGAGCAGCAGUGGGGAAUAUUGGACAAUGGGCGAAAGCCUGAUCCAGCCAUGCCGCGUGUGUGAAGAAGGCCUUCGGGUUGUAAAGCACUUUCAGUGGGGAAGAAAGCCUUGGGGCUAAUACCCUCGAGGAAGGACAUCACCCACAGAAGAAGCACCGGCUAACUCCGUGCCAGCAGCCGCGGUAAUACGGAGGGUGCGAGCGUUAAUCGGAAUUACUGGGCGUAAAGCGCGCGUAGGCGGUCUGAUAAGCCGGUUGUGAAAGCCCCGGGCUCAACCUGGGAACGGCAUCCGGAACUGUCAGGCUAGAGUGCAGGAGAGGAAGGUAGAAUUCCCGGUGUAGCGGUGAAAUGCGUAGAGAUCGGGAGGAAUACCAGUGGCGAAGGCGGUCUUCUGGACUGACACUGACGCUGAGGUGCGAAAGCGUGGGUAGCAAACAGGAUUAGAUACCCGAGUAGUC
RNAcentral lists this ribosomal RNA (465 nucleotides) under Vreelandella stevensii. Its description in RNAcentral is "partial 16S ribosomal RNA". It matches the Rfam family "Bacterial small subunit ribosomal RNA", at positions 338 to 795 of the family's 1533-position model. The record is from RNAcentral. Lineage: Bacteria; Pseudomonadati; Pseudomonadota; Gammaproteobacteria; Oceanospirillales; Halomonadaceae.